Molecule: ribosomal RNA, 421 nt
Filed under: uncultured bacterium
Lineage: Bacteria
Description: bacterial SSU rRNA
Rfam family: Bacterial small subunit ribosomal RNA
Source: RNAcentral
GAGGAAUAUUGGUCAAUGGACGCAAGUCUGAACCAGCCACGUCGCGUGAAGGAAGACGGCCCUACGGGUUGUAAACUUCUUUUAUACGGGAAUAAAGUGCCCCACGCGUGGGGUUUUGCAAGUACCGUACGAAUAAGGAUCGGCUAACUCCGUGCCAGCAGCCGCGGUAAUACGUAGGUGGCGAGCGUUGUCCGGAAUUACUGGGCGUAAAGGGCGCGUAGGCGGCUCUUUAAGUUAGAUGUGAAAACCCAGGGCUCAACCCUGGGAGUGCAUUUAAAACUGAAGGGCUCGAGUGCAGGAGAGGUAAGUGGAAUUCCUAGUGUAGCGGUGAAAUGCGUAGAUAUUAGGAGGAACACCAGUGGCGAAGGCGACUUACUGGACUGUAACUGACGCUGAGGCGCGAAAGCGUGGGGAGCAAACA